Molecule: small nucleolar RNA, 218 nt
Organism: Carcharodon carcharias (great white shark)
Lineage: Eukaryota; Metazoa; Chordata; Chondrichthyes; Lamniformes; Lamnidae
Product: small nucleolar RNA SNORA73 family
Exons: 1
Source: RefSeq, a predicted model, not a curated record
CCAAUGUGGGCACCCAGCAAGGUUGCUCUUGCCUGGCUCUGUCCGUGUGGCGUAUGGGAGCGUAGGCCUUUGUGUCUAUGACGUACAGUCCUGUUCCAUGACGUUGGAGAGAAAGUGUGUCCCCGGCUUUUUACUGGUGAGGACAGCAUCCUGUAUAUUCCUAGACCUUCUCAGUGUUUGUAAAGUGACUGAGGAGAUAAACCAUGCAGGAUACAGAC